RNAcentral lists this transfer RNA (71 nucleotides) under Myxococcales bacterium. RNAcentral's name for it is "tRNA-Gln". It matches the Rfam family "tRNA". Rfam says of the family: Transfer RNA (tRNA) molecules are approximately 80 nucleotides in length. Their secondary structure includes four short double-helical elements and three loops (D, anti-codon, and T loops). Lineage: Bacteria; Pseudomonadati; Myxococcota; Myxococcia; Myxococcales. The record is from RNAcentral.
UCCGGGGUCGUCUAAGGGCAGGACAGCGGUUUUUGGUGCCGCGAAUGGUGGUUCGAAUCCAUCCCUCGGAA